Molecule: long non-coding RNA, 657 nt
Organism: Oxyura jamaicensis (ruddy duck)
Lineage: Eukaryota; Metazoa; Chordata; Aves; Anseriformes; Anatidae
Exons: 3
Source: RefSeq, a predicted model, not a curated record
GUAAGGAGAAAGGCAGUCAGCCUGAGCUGUAUGCAAGGGGACUUUGACAAAUUUGCUGCCAGUCAGCUACUUGGGAUGACCUACCCACAAAGGGACCUACCCAAGCAGAGACCUACCCACAAGGACCCAGGAAGCAGGAGAUGAGGUGCUUACAGUGCUCAUCAUUAUAAGGUUGGGUGAUGCUCUGAGUGACAAGUCGAUAGCCCAGCUGACAAAAAGCAGAUAUGGACCUAGAUCUGAAGCCAUAAUCCAAACUUCUGUGUAACAGUGAGUCUCAGCAGUGAAAGAAAUGUAGCAAAUACAUAAUUUAAUCUGAAAGCAGAAGAGGCUGAGAGGCUCUACAGUCAGAGAACAUUUGCAUUUUGAUCCCAGAGGAAAAGGUCAAUCAACUAGGAGGUUUUGUCUGAUUUCCCAAAGUAGCAGUUUAAAUGGGAUCUACUGCUACCUGCCAACAACAGCUAUAAGGGAAAGGACUACAGAGGACUGCAGCGAAACCUGGAAUAGUGCAUUACUACUGAGAAUACACAUUUACAUUAACAGCGCUAAGACAGUGCUGUCUUCCGAUGUUAAGCAAACAUACCUCUGCAAUAGCAAGAUGCUAGAGGGAAAAUGUCACUGUUUUAUCUGCCACUAACCCACAGGGGCCAGCAGAUGAUC